UCUAACAAGGGUAAAGAGAUUAUGCCCAAAGAUCGGGAAUAUGAGUAUAUCGAACUCCUAGUACUGUGAGUAACCUUACUAUCAUUUUAAUUAUCUAAAGUAUGUUUUUAAUCAGUUUUGGUGAAAUUUUAUGAAAAUGAGUUUAAAUGGUAAAUCUUUGUGUUUUACAAACAAAAUGUGUUUACAUGAAAAGAUUUUAUAAAUUGUCUUGAAAUUGAAUAAUGAUUUUGAAAAAUAGAGUAAUUGGAGACCACUUGUUAUGUUGUAAAAUUUAUGAUUUGAAUCGAAUGGCUUAUGACAAUAUUUGCAUAAAUGGCUGAAUUGAUAUUUGUAUUGAAAUAUAUGAAAUGUGUAUUUAGCCUUGAAAGGCUAUGAAUUACAAUAAUUGUCAUAUCAUGUUAUUAAAUUUUAUUGAUUGGUGGGAUAAUUAUUAGCUUACUAUAGUAGGCGGGUUUCCGUGGACUAGCCUAUUAGAGAGGCAUGGUAAACCCCGUUAUAUUUUACCUCGGUUGGAGAGACGAGUAGGGUAACUCUCGAGGUAUAACUUUUAGAGUUCACUUCACACCAAACCACCACGUGAGGGGAAACUCGACCAAUGCCAAGGAAUGGCUAUGUUUUCAAAAUAAAACAUGACUUCCUAAUAGCCUUGGCGGACUCAGUUGGGAUAGCCCUCGGCCAAGGUAUCCUAGAUAACUGAGUAUGAUAAUAAUUUUUGGCAUGAGCCAAGCUUUUAAGAAAUUCAUAAGCCAUAUUGAUUACUUGAUUUAAAUAAAUUGAUUUCAUUUGGUUGAAAUAAGUUGAAAGGUGAUAAAUUACAGUUUGAUGAAAUGUUUUAAUAGUCUCCUUUUACUCGUCUUUAGAUCUUUUAAAUGAUAUUUGUUUACUCACUGGGAUUUUAUAAUCUCACCACCCUCUUUUUCACCCAUUUCAGGCUCAGAAUAGAUUGUAGAUAACUGAUAUCGGCGAGGACUACAGUUGAACUUGCCACAUCCAAAAACUGUAGGUUCAUUUCUUUUGAUACUUUUAGUCAUUUAUGGGCCCACGUGUCACUGUAAAUUAAAUUUUAUACUUUGGUUAUCUAUAUUAAACAUGUAUGAAUUUAUUUUGCUUUUACGUUGUAAAAAUUAU
RNAcentral lists this long non-coding RNA (1128 nucleotides) under Theobroma cacao (cacao). RNAcentral's name for it is "long non-coding RNA (TCAC_LNC005912)". Lineage: Eukaryota; Viridiplantae; Streptophyta; Magnoliopsida; Malvales; Malvaceae. The record is from RNAcentral.